RNAcentral lists this long non-coding RNA (1311 nucleotides) under Arachis ipaensis. RNAcentral's name for it is "long non-coding RNA (AIPA_LNC001610)". The record is from RNAcentral. Lineage: Eukaryota; Viridiplantae; Streptophyta; Magnoliopsida; Fabales; Fabaceae.
AAUAGUGCUACACCCAAUAAGAAAGUGCUAUGGCAACAUCUUGUGACAUGAAAAAAUUUGUUGCUAUAGUGGUUAUAACUAUGCUAGCACUGGUACAAGGCGAAAAUAUUGCUACAACAAAAAAUUUUGAGCCAGACUUUAAAUUUAAAAAACUUCUUUGUCAUGGCAAAUGUAUCUUGCAAUGCGCUUUAAGCAAACCAAAUCCGAUUGUGUUGGCACUGUGCCUAGGUCUAUGUAUAAGCGAUUGUAUACAUCAUCAUUUGACAUCUUUUAAUGAUUCUCACUGCAUUGUAGCUUGUACUUUGUCCAAAUCCAUUGAAGACAGAUUAGGUAUAUAUUCAUACUUUUACUUUUUAUUUUCUUUUCAUUCUUAUUAUUGUUAUAUAAUUACGGAUUUUGUUUAGAAUAAAUUAAAAAUUAUUUCUAAUACAUCAUUUUGGACUUUAGGGCAAGUUUGCCAUACUUUCGAUGAAUUCUAUUAUUUUAAUAGAGUUUGUCUGAUUUUUCACCGAAGUUUAUUACGUAUUUUCAUAAAUAUCAAAUUGAGUGAGAAAAAAAAAGGUUAAAAAAUUAACAAUGGCAAUCAUGAUCGUCUUUAGAGUACAUAAAAGUACACAAGAGUAUGCAGGAAUAAGUCGUAUUUUUUAUUUAUAAUAGAAAAAAUUCUGGUUAAAUAUGGCUUAUUUCUGUAUACCUAUAUAUUUUCUGGAGACGAUGAUAAUAAUUGUCAUUGGCGCCAGUGAUAUUGAAAAAGUCGUACUUGUUAUUUGUGUAUUUUUGUAUACUCCUAUAUACUAUUGGAGACGAUGAUAAUGACUUAGAAAUUUGAAUUUCAUUCUCAACCAAAUUUCUAAGGAGAAUUUGAGUGAAAUUUCGGGGCGAACUCAUCCUAAAAAUGCAUUCCGGAAAUUAAUGUUGAAAUAACGUAUUUUUGAAAAUAAUUUUUUUUAUUUUAAAAAAAUUUCAUAAUUAUUAUAUUGUUUAAAUAUAUGAUCUCAUGCAUAUUUCUCAAAUUUAAGAAGAAAGUUAAGAUUAGCUUUUUCUUUUAUAUAGUUAAUUAAUUAUUUAUUUAAAAAAUUUUAUUUUUUGUACCAGAUGAUCGUGCCGUGAAUGAAUACGCCAGAUCCUGUUUGCGGAUGUGUAAUGUCAAAUAAAUUAAGAAAUUAGAUCCUCUCAAUCUUUUUUCAUUUGAAAGAAUGAAAUGUGAUCUCUCAUUAUACAUUUUAUUGGUAGGACUAAAAAAAUAUGAAAAAAAUAUUAAAAAAUUAGAGAUUAUAUUUCACCAUUUGAAAAAAAAUUUGAGAAAAUCCA